GAUGAAUAGAAUGAGCAAAAGUUGCAGCACAGCGUGUCACCAGAGAGGAAAAGAAUAUCCUUGCUGUGCCAAGAAAGAAAAGACCAUGGAUCUACUAGUUGCAGAUUUCAGCAGUAAUGCCAAGGGGGCAAGAAGUGACCAGCAGAACAAUUAGGCCAUGGCAACAGAAGCCAACUACAACCCAUGUUCCAAUCUAUGACCUCCCUCUCCUGCUGGUACAAGGAUAUGAUCUGGAGUCUGGGAAGUUCAAGAGCAUGGCACCAACAUCUGGCAAGGGCUUUCAUUCUGCAUCAUCUCAUGGAGGAAAAUAAAAAGGAGGCUGGAUGCUCCUGUGAAGUACGUCUUUUAUCUACUUGCUAUCUUUGCAAUUCCUUCAUGCUACAAUGAGAGAUAGAGUUUAAACCUGAAAACAUUCUUGGAAAAGGAAUCUUCAUUAAUUCAAAUAUACCACAAGAUUCACCACCAUCACUACUCUAAGUAUUUUUCUUCUUGAGAAAGAGAAGGAGAGGGAAAGCAAGGAAGAGGAAGAGAAAGAGAAAUGGAUAAAAACAUGGUCAAGUAGAAGAGUCUGUGAUUUCAGGUAAAUCCAGAUUUGGAGCUUAAAUGACUCAAAUGCUUUGCCUACAUUGAUCCUACAUUCAGGCUGCUUACAUAUCUCUUGGCUUCUCUGAGAACCAGAUUGUCACCACUUAAAGUGUCUUCCAGAGUCCUCACGAGUAUCAGAGAAGGCAUAAUCUGUACACGUGGCUUCAUUUAAAAUGAAAAUAUCAAGCAGUGUCAUUUUCACAAGUAUCCCCACACUGUCUGAGGCUGAAAAGAAGAGUGUAGCUAUGCACACUGCAGUGAGAAGAAAAUUUCAGCUCAAUUGGAGGAUGUAAAGAUUGAAAUACCACUGCUCCUAGUUCUGAUGCAAAAUUGAAAAGAGUGCACUGGGUCUUCAAAUGGCAUAUUGACAAGGAGAAAGAGGAAAGGAUGCCCCAGGACAGCCUGGGGGUCAAGGCUGGGCUCAGGCAUGCCUGGACAAGCCAUGCAAGUUGUCUCCGGACUUGAACCACGUAUCAGAGGAGCUAUUUGAGGAGCCACAUCAGCAUACCUGCUUCUGUGGGCCCCCAGGCUGUGGUGCUCAGCCCUUGCACUAUGAAACAUUUUUUUUUUCCAGAAGCCAAAGCUUUGAGCAUCUCCUCCCAUGUAGAGAGUGUAUAUGUUUACGUCCAUGUCUUUCGCCAUGUGAACGCAUGCAACCACCACCUCAAAUAUCAUAAAUCCUCUCUCUCCCCCUUUCUGUCUGCCUGUUUAUCUACAAUCUGUCUAUUUAAAUUCUUUUUAAACAAGAAGGGAAUAUCUUUAUGCCUGUUUGUAGGGAUAUUCUACAUCCAUCUGUUAUUUACAUCAUUCGUUUUCCUGAGGUGUCUCCAACAAAUCCUGGCUGGAUGCACUGUAUGUGUUAUUAAUAAAACAGCUGUAAAAAUAUUAA
This 1474-nucleotide long non-coding RNA is filed under the name Homo sapiens (human). RNAcentral describes it as "long intergenic non-protein coding RNA 1539". Lineage: Eukaryota; Metazoa; Chordata; Mammalia; Primates; Hominidae. The record is from RNAcentral.